AGAGUUUGAUCCUGGCUUAGGACGAACGCUGGCGGCGUGCUUCAUACAUGCAAGUCGAACGAGAAGCAAGAGCUUGCUCUUGUGGAAAGUGGCGGACGGGUGAGUAACACGUAGGGAAUCUGCCUUUAGGCGGGGGACAACAGUUGGAAACGACUGCUAAUACCCCAUAUGAGCUAAGUUGAAAUACUUAUCUUGAAAACUCCGGUGCCUAGAGAUGAGCCUGCGUCUGAUUAGCUAGUUGGCGGGUAAACGCCCACCAAGGCGACGAUCAGUAGCUGGUUUGAGAGGAUGAUCAGCCACAAUGGGACUGAGACACGGCCCAUACUCCUACGGGAGGCAGCAGUAGGGUAAUUUUGCGCAAGUGGGGGAAACCCUGAACCGCAGCAACGCCGCGUGAACGAAGAAGCCCUUCGGGGUGUAAAGUUCUGUCAGUAGGGAAGAACAAAUGACUGUACCUACAGAGGAAGCACCGGCUAACUCCGUGCCAGCCGCGGC
RNAcentral lists this ribosomal RNA (495 nucleotides) under uncultured bacterium. RNAcentral describes it as "bacterial SSU rRNA". It matches the Rfam family "Bacterial small subunit ribosomal RNA", at positions 8 to 518 of the family's 1533-position model. The record is from RNAcentral.